RNAcentral lists this long non-coding RNA (739 nucleotides) under Calidris pugnax (ruff). RNAcentral's name for it is "lncRNA (ENSCPUG00000016586.1)". The record is from RNAcentral. Lineage: Eukaryota; Metazoa; Chordata; Aves; Charadriiformes; Scolopacidae.
UGAGUUGAAUAAAGGAAUAUCUUUAAAUAGCUCCCUCUUUUUUAUCACAUACUAAAUUCCUUGCUCCUGAAGUGUAUUUCAUUUCAGUGUAUUUCAGGUAUUGGAACAGCCUGCCCAGGGAGGUGGUGGAGUCACCAACCCUGGAGUAUUUUGAGGGAAAAGGGAACAAACGGAUGUCAGUUACCUGGACAAGGGAAACCGCACGUGAGAGACUGGAUUUCUGUCCCCACCUUCUGCUAAAUGCAUGCAGAAAACAUCUUCAUUAAAAAGAAACCUCAUCUCUGAGAAAGAUUUAACAAAGCCAAACUCAUUGAGAGGAAAUAGGUUGAAGUUUUGUUAGAAAUCACAGGGAUCACUUGAGGGCCACAGGCCGUCAGAUGUAAUGACUGUGAGUGAACACAUUUGCCCAGAGCCUGUAAACCCUGGGUAGAAGCUUUUGGUGUUAUUUACCAUACGGUUCCAGGCAGCUGCAAUCCAUCCAGGCCAAUGUUCCUGAGAGCUGGCUGCCAGAUACCUCCACACUCCUCACGAGAGCUCCAGAGCUGAGCACUGAGCUGAACGUUGGACAUGGACAUCCCCCAUGAAACCACGCGGCUUUGGGGGGAGCUGCAAAGUCUGAGACAGUUUUGGAGGUGGGAAACUGCCCCUGUUUUAUUGCACCCCCACCGAGAGUGUGUGCCCCCGGCAGGGGCAGGGAUCCCUGACAGAAGGUUUGCAGCAGCCAGAGCUAAGUGUGACC